Molecule: ribosomal RNA, 496 nt
Filed under: uncultured bacterium
Lineage: Bacteria
Description: partial 16S ribosomal RNA
Rfam family: Bacterial small subunit ribosomal RNA
Source: RNAcentral
AUGAACGCUGGCGGCGUGCCUAAUACCUGCAAGUCGAGCGAACAGACGAGGAGCUUGCUCCUCUGACGUUAGCGGCGGACGGGUGAGUAACACGUGGAUAACCUACCUAUAAGACUGGGAUAACUUCGGGAAACCGGAGCUAAUACCGGAUAAUAUAUUGAACCGCCUGGUUCAAUAGUGAAAGACGGUUUUGCUGUCACUUAUAGAUGGAUCCGCGCCGCAUUAGCUAGUUGGUAAGGUAACGGCUUACCAAGGCAACGAUGCGUAGCCGACCUGAGAGGGUGAUCGGCCACACUGGAACUGAGACACGGUCCAGACUCCUACGGGAGGCAGCAGUAGGGAAUCUGCCGCAAUGGGCGAAAGCUUGACGGAGCAAGGCCGCGUGAGUGAUGAAGGUCUUCGGAUCGUAAAACUCUGUUAUUAGGGAAGAACAAAUGUGUAAGUAACUAUGCACGGCUUGACGGUACCUAAUCAGAAAGCCACGGCUAACUACGUG